GAGUCCAAUCCGAAGAUGGGGAGCGGUGUGGGUGGACGAUGAGCUUGGUUUGGGCAACACUCCAAGGAAAGAGACAACGAGGGAGUGACUAGAGGGGAAAAUUAGCAGGGUCUGGGCGAUUUACUUCCUUAUUCUAUUUUUUUGGUUGAAAAGUGGCAACCGGAUUAGAUUAUGUGACCGUGAGAUUCUGCUAGGAUCGACGGCUUUCGAUAGGUCCGAUGCUUCACUUCUGAUCAAACUACUUGGUGGGAGUGUUUCCCAUUCAUUUGGCAAGCAUGACAAUUCCACGCAAAAAGCUGAAAUCAUUUUUCAUGGCAAUUUUUAAAAUUGACAUUCUCAUUAUAAUAUAUAUUUUGCAUGUUCAUUUUUUAACACAAUACAGACGAAAGCGCUCAUAUAUACGCGCAUACACUCGCCCCUAUGAAUGCACACACGCACACUCUAUCCCUAUGUGCAGAUUCGAAAGACUGAGCCAUGAACGUCUCCUCACACCAAAAGCACAUCGUUGAAAAUCCUAAAAUAAAUUCAGAAAUAAUGUGAAAAUAAUGCGAGUAUCAAAACUUAAACCCUGGUGGUGGGGAUACCGCUGUCUUUCUAAUCAAUCCAACCGUUGGUUCGCAUUUGCACGUCCGAUUUGUCACGUAGAAAAAUCUGACGUUUGAUUUGUAUCUUUUCCUCGCCUACAACCGCCAGAAAACUGGCGCUCACGAAAUUACCGUUGCUCAUAAAAAUUGGAAAGAUAACAUUCGGCGUGACGAUAGCCGCUAUCUCUUCGCUCUCCCUGUCUGACUCUCGCCGGCGCCGCGCCCUCCCCCAGCUGUCGCCUCCGCCGCCGCCGCCAGCCAUGCUUCUCCUCCAGGAACACGUCCUCCUCCUCUCUCUCCGUCCCCGCGCCACGAGUGCCCUACUCUCCUUCCGGCACCGAUGCCUCUUCUCCAACACCCGAUUCGCCGCCGCCGCCGCCGUGGCGGCGUCGGCUAGCCCUGCGCCGUUCGCCGUGGCGGACUACCUCGUCGCGUCUUGCCACCUCACCCCGGCGCAGGCCGUCAAGGCCUCCAAGGUCCUCUCCCACCUCAAGUCCCCCUCCAAGCCCGAGGCCGUCCUCGCCUUCCUCUCCGACCUCGGCCUCUCCGACGCCGACGUCGCCGCCGUCGUCGUGUACGACCCUCUCCUCCUCUGCUCCGAGGUCGACAAGACCCUGGCCCCGCGCCUCGCCGAGCUCCGGGACCUCGGGCUCUCCCCGUCCCAGAUCGCCCGCCUCGUCCUGGUCGACCCCGCCCGCUUCCGCCGCCCCACCAUCAUCUCCAAAAGCUGCAGUACUACGUCCCCCUCUUCGGCUCCUUCGAGAACCUCCUCCAGGCGCUCAAGUACAACUCCUACCUCCUCAGCUCCGACCUGGAGAACGUUGUCAAGCCCAACGUCGCGCUCCUCCGGGAGUGCGGGUUAGGUGACUGUGAUAUUGCCAAGCUAUGCAUCCCCGUGCCGAGGCUGCUCACCAGUAAGCCAGAGCGCAUCCAGGCCAUGGUGGCGCGUGCCGAAGAUGUCGGUGUGCCCCGUGGCUCUGCGAUGUUCAGGCACGCGCUGCUGGCUGUCGCAUUCCUCAGCGAGGAGAAGAUUGCUGCUAAGGUGGAGUUCCUGAAGAAGACUUUCAGGUGGUCGGAAGCUGAGGUGGCCAUUGCUGUCGCCAAGCUUCCGGUCGUGCUGAGGAACUCCCAGGAGAGGCUGCUGCGCAUGUCGGAAUUCUUGAUGUCCGAGGUUGGGUUAGAGCCGGAGUACAUUGCUCACAGGCCGGCAAUGCUCACUUAUAGCCUAGAGGCCCGACUCAAACCUCGGUACUAUGUUGUGAAGUUCCUUAAAGAAAAUGGAUUGCUAAAGCCUAACCGAAGCUUCUACACCGCAGCCCAGGUGAGCGAGAAGGUAUUCAUGGAGAAGUUCAUACGUCCUCACAAGGGAGCUGCGCCUCGCCUCGCUGAAGACUAUGCUGCCACUCUCAAAGGGGAAGUCCCCACUAGAUUUAGAUGCAAGAACCAAGAAGGCUUGAAUAGUAUUUAACUGCUUUUUUGCACAAUGAAGUUUUCACUCUGGAGUCUGCACAGCAAGCUGGCAAGUCCUGUUUCUGUGUUGUUUUUCUAACACUCUAACUGGAUGUUUGGUGUCCACUAUAGUAUGUCACUUGCAGUUUUGGUAGUUGCUAAUAUUUUCUGAAUUCGAAUAUAUGUUUUGGUCGUCAUCCAGUAGAGAAGAAAGCAUGGCACAGUCAUGAAUUGGUUCUUCAUAUGUCAUGCUAACACACAAGUUUCUGAACCUGGCUUGUUCAGUCUGCAUUUUGUACUAAGAUCAGACAACUAUCAGCGUCUUUUAGGUCUCAGUUGGGACGUUAGAAUCGUCCUGUUCCUUUAGGAAAUAAACUUAUUAUUGUUAACUCUUGUGGAAUUCUGCAUUAAAAACAUGCCUUGUAAUGUGUAUCAACAGCUUCCCUAAUACAGUACUGUACAUUACUUAUUA
This is an RNA transcript of Aegilops tauschii subsp. strangulata, 2505 nucleotides long. It is a transcript of the gene named transcription termination factor MTERF8, chloroplastic, with no coding region annotated. The record is from RefSeq and is a predicted model, not a curated record. Lineage: Eukaryota; Viridiplantae; Streptophyta; Magnoliopsida; Poales; Poaceae.